UGAACGCUGGCGGUAGGCCUAACACAUGCAAGUCGAACGGCAGCACAGAGGAGCUUGCUCCUUGGGUGGCGAGUGGCGGACGGGUGAGGAAUACAUCGGAAUCUACUUUUUCGUGGGGGAUAACGUAGGGAAACUUACGCUAAUACCGCAUACGACCUACGGGUGAAAGCAGGGGACCUUCGGGCCUUGCGCGAUUGAAUGAGCCGAUGUCGGAUUAGCUAGUUGGCGGGGUAAAGGCCCACCAAGGCGACGAUCCGUAGCUGGUCUGAGAGGAUGAUCAGCCACACUGGAACUGAGACACGGUCCAGACUCCUACGGGAGGCAGCAGUGGGGAAUAUUGGACAAUGGGCGCAAGCCUGAUCCAGCCAUACCGCGUGGGUGAAGAAGGCCUUCGGGUUGUAAAGCCCUUUUGUUGGGAAAGAAAUCCAGCCGGCUAAUAUCCUGGUUGGGAAGACGGACCCAAAGAAUAAGCACCGCAAUUUCG
This 484-nucleotide ribosomal RNA is filed under the name Stenotrophomonas hibiscicola. Its description in RNAcentral is "bacterial SSU rRNA". It matches the Rfam family "Bacterial small subunit ribosomal RNA", at positions 30 to 505 of the family's 1533-position model. Lineage: Bacteria; Pseudomonadati; Pseudomonadota; Gammaproteobacteria; Lysobacterales; Lysobacteraceae. The record is from RNAcentral.